This 253-nucleotide ribosomal RNA is filed under the name uncultured bacterium. Its description in RNAcentral is "partial 16S ribosomal RNA". It matches the Rfam family "Bacterial small subunit ribosomal RNA", at positions 524 to 776 of the family's 1533-position model. The record is from RNAcentral.
UACGUAGGUGGCGAGCGUUGUCCGGAUUUACUGGGCGUAAAGGGAGCGUAGGCGGACUUUUAAGUGAGAUGUGAAAUACUCGGGCUCAACUUGAGUGCUGCAUUCCAAACUGGAAGUCUAGAGUGCAGGAGAGGAGAAUGGAAUUCCUAGUGUAGCGGUGAAAUGCGUAGAGAUUAGGAAGAACACCAGUGGCGAAGGCGGUUCUCUGGACUGUAACUGACGCUGAGGCUCGAAAGCGUGGGGAGCAAACAGG